GAUGAACGCUGGCGGCGUGCCUAAUACAUGCAAGUCGAGCGAACGGACGAGAAGCUUGCUUCUCUGAUGUUAGCGGCGGACGGGUGAGUAACACGUGGAUAACCUCUCUAUAAGACUGGGAUAACUUCGGGACACCGGAGCUACUACCGGCUAAUAUUUUGAACCGCAUGGUUCAAAAGUGAAAGACGGUCUUGCUGUCACUUAUAGAUGGAUCCGCGCUGCAUUAGCUAGUUGGUAAGGUAACGGCUUACCAAGGCAACGAUGCAUAGCCGACCUGAGAGGGUGAUCGGCCACACUGGAACUGAGACACGGUCCAGACUCCUACGGGAGGCAGCAGUAGGGAAUCUUCCGCAAUGGGCGAAAGCCUGACGGAGCAACGCCGCGUGAGUGAUGAAGGUCUUCGGAUCGUAAAACUCUGUUAUUAGGGAAGAACAUAUGUGUAAGUAACUGUGCACAUCUUGACGGUACCUAAUCAGAAAGCCACGGCUAACUACGUG
Molecule: ribosomal RNA, 497 nt
Filed under: uncultured bacterium
Lineage: Bacteria
Description: partial 16S ribosomal RNA
Rfam family: Bacterial small subunit ribosomal RNA
Source: RNAcentral